GAGAGGGCUUCUCACCCGGAUUAAAUUUUUCCACAGCUAGUGUGACAUCUGCUCAUCCCUGAGCUUGCCUUAGGAUGGAUCUUGCUGACACAGCAGCAUAACACUGAACUGUUUGGCAUUAUCAGUCUGCUGAGGUCCCCACAACAUCGGCUGUGUCAGAGCACUUGAAUUCAUGAAGAAGCCGACUUCAUCUGUGACUGAAAAUACCAGAUCUCUCCAUUUACUGCUGUUCCCCAAGCAUCCAUCUCUAAAUUCACAGCUUUAACCUCUCAGCACCUACAACUGUGAGAACAGAGGUGAGGAUGGAGGAGCCCACGGGAGCUGCGAGGCUGCCAGAGAGGCUGCAGAAGGGGCUGCAGCGGGAUAGGAAGGAAGCUUCUGAGUGCCGAAUGCUGCAUCUAAACAUGUGACUAAUUACACCAGAGCCCAGCAGUUCUGUGGCUGGUAGGA
RNAcentral lists this long non-coding RNA (450 nucleotides) under Anser brachyrhynchus (Pink-footed goose). Its description in RNAcentral is "lncRNA (ENSABRG00000020713.1)". Lineage: Eukaryota; Metazoa; Chordata; Aves; Anseriformes; Anatidae. The record is from RNAcentral.